Molecule: unclassified non-coding RNA, 737 nt
Filed under: Hevea brasiliensis (rubber tree)
Lineage: Eukaryota; Viridiplantae; Streptophyta; Magnoliopsida; Malpighiales; Euphorbiaceae
Source: RNAcentral
CCUUCCUCUUAUCAUCCAAUGCCUGUUCCAUAUGGCAUAUGCCACAAAGGAAGGUCAAAACAAGCUGUAUCAGUGCAUAGGUUCAUGUUCAUGCAUUUGUUAUCAUGAAAUGGGUAUUGAGUGACACAGAUCACUAGAAUGAAAUUAAAAAUAAAAUAAAAAAGAAAACAUAAAUUAGGUACAAGGAUCCAGAGUGCACAAGUAGCCCAUUUCUGAUAAUCUUCGAAACCUCAAGGGUAGAAUGUUGAAGCAUGUGUGUGCUAAAGAGCACGUGGAUUUUAUCAUGAUUAAUAUCAUUUACCUUUGCCACCAGGUGAAAAGUUGUCAAACAUGAGGAAUUACUUAAAAUGACUAACUGUUUUACUUUCUGACUUUAUGUAGGAGUAUGCCAGCAUGUUUCAGCUGAAGUGAAUAAACAUUCUAGUAUUCCAAAUAAGUAGUAGGAUACCACAAAUCACAAAUGCUGGUAUUCUGUGAAAGAUUUCCAUUGAUUAACUAUGUAUCAUUUAGUGAAGUUAAAAUCAUUCUUCUUAGGGCUGAGUUUCAUUCAUAAUUGAUAUGUGUUGCUUCUUGUAGUCAUAAUUGUCAACAACAAUCUAUGUUCUAAACAGGGCAACAUCAGAAGUCAAUAUGCAAACAAAACAACUUAUAUAAGCAUGUAUAGAACUAGGCAUAUUCUUCAAGUAGAAUUUGACGAGAUCCAGAAAAAAUUACCUUGCUUUGGAACAUUCUCAUGG